This 1800-nucleotide ribosomal RNA is filed under the name Triticum aestivum (bread wheat). RNAcentral's name for it is "partial small subunit ribosomal RNA". Lineage: Eukaryota; Viridiplantae; Streptophyta; Magnoliopsida; Poales; Poaceae. The record is from RNAcentral.
AUGGGUUCAAUUCCUACUUAUUGUUCUUAUCAGACAAACAGUGUUGGUUCACUGAAACUAUCACCUCACAUCCAAUUACAACAAUCUUGUAACAAUGGAGUUAUGUUAUUAUCCAUGCGGAAUAAGACACAGCUGGCCAAAAGAAGAGCCACAAAUUAUGGAACUCAUCGUAAUUCUAGUCGGACUCCGGCACCUAUCGUAUGUUCAACUGGAAUGCCCAUAAUUUUCGUUGCCACUGAAGUGCACCCAUGGUGCAAAACUGGAGGCCUUGGUGAUGUUGUAGGAGGAUUGCCCCCAGCUCUGGCUGCAAUGGGACACCGGGUUAUGACGAUAGCUCCUCGCUAUGAUCAGUACAAGGAUACAUGGGAUACAAAUGUUCUUGUUGAGGUGAUUGUUGGUGACAGAACAGAAACAGUGCGCUUUUUUCACUGCUACAAAAGGGGAGUUGAUCAUGUUUUUGUUGAUCAUCCUAUGUUUCUUGAGAAGGUAUGGGGCAAAACUGGAUCAAAAUUGUAUGGGCCUACUACUGGAACAGACUUCCGAGAUAACCAGUUACGGUUCUGCCUUUUGUGCCUUGCUGCAUUGGAGGCUCCGAGGGUUCUUAAUCUCAACAAUUCUGAAUACUUCUCUGGACCAUAUGGAGAAAAUGUUGUCUUUGUUGCAAAUGACUGGCACACUGCAGUUUUGCCAUGCUAUUUGAAGAGCAUGUAUAAGCAAAAUGGAAUUUAUGAGAAUGCCAAGGUUGCUUUCUGCAUUCACAAUAUCGCCUAUCAGGGCAGAUUUCCCAGAGCGGACUUCGAACUUCUUAAUUUACCUGAAAGUUUCGUGCCUUCAUUUGAUUUUGUUGAUGGGCAUGUUAAGCCAGUAGUUGGGAGAAAGAUUAACUGGAUGAAGGCAGGGAUCAGUGAGUGUGAUGUGGUCCUUACAGUUAGUCCACAUUAUGUUAAAGAACUCACUUCUGGUCCAGAGAAAGGUGUUGAGUUGGAUGGUGUCCUUCGUGCAAAGCCUCUUGAAACUGGAAUUGUAAAUGGAAUGGAUGUUGUUGAUUGGAAUCCGGCAACAGAUAAGUACAUCAGUGUCAAAUACAAUGCAACUACGGUGGCAGAAGCAAGAGCUCUCAAUAAAGAAAUACUGCAAGCUGAAGUUGGAUUGCCGGUGGACUCUAGCAUACCUGUUAUAGUUUUCAUUGGUCGUCUUGAAGAACAGAAAGGGUCAGACAUACUAAUUGCAGCCAUUCCGGAGUUUGUCGAGGAGAAUGUUCAGAUAAUUGUUCUCGGCACAGGGAAGAAGAAAAUGGAGGAGGAACUGAUGCUGCUAGAAGCGGAGUACCCACAGAAUGCCAGAGGCAUAGCAAAAUUCAAUGUCCCGUUGGCGCACAUGAUGUUCGCCGGGGCUGAUUUCAUAAUUGUUCCAAGUAGGUUCGAGCCAUGUGGCCUCAUCCAAUUGCAAGGGAUGAGAUAUGGAGUGAUUCCUAUCUGUUCAUCCACCGGAGGACUUGUUGACACGGUGAGGGAGGGUGUUACCGGAUUCCACAUGGGUUCGUUCAAUGUAGAGUUUGAAACCGUCGAUCCAGCAGAUGUCGCGGCAGUCGCUUCGAAUGUCACGCGAGCUCUGAAACAGUACAAAACACUGUCGUUCCACGCAAUGGUUCAGAAUUGCAUGGCGCAGGACCUAUCAUGGAAGGGACCGGCAAAGAAGUGGGAGGAGGCUCUUCUUGGGCUAGGAGUCGAGGGAAGUCAGCCGGGCAUCGAGGGCGAGGAGAUCGCUCCAGUUGCAAAACAGAAUGUGGCCACUCCCUGA